UACGAAGGGGGCUAGCGUUGCUCGGAAUCACUGGGCGUAAAGGGUGCGUAGGCGGGUCUUUAAGUUAGGGGUGAAAUCCUGGAGCUCAACUCCAGAACUGCCUUUGAUACUGAGGAUCUUGAGUCCGGGAGAGGUGAGUGGAACUGCGAGUGUAGAGGUGAAAUUCGUAGAUAUUCGCAAGAACACCAGUGGCGAAGGCGGCUCACUGGCCCGGUACUGACGCUGAGGUGCGAAAGCGUGGGGAGCAAACAGG
This 253-nucleotide ribosomal RNA is filed under the name uncultured bacterium. Its description in RNAcentral is "partial 16S ribosomal RNA". It matches the Rfam family "Bacterial small subunit ribosomal RNA", at positions 524 to 776 of the family's 1533-position model. The record is from RNAcentral.